Molecule: ribosomal RNA, 253 nt
Filed under: uncultured bacterium
Lineage: Bacteria
Description: partial 16S ribosomal RNA
Rfam family: Bacterial small subunit ribosomal RNA
Source: RNAcentral
UACGGAGGAUGCAAGCGUUAUCCGGAAUGAUUGGGCGUAAAGCGUCCGCAGGUGGCUGUGUAAGUCUGCUGUUAAAGAGUGAGGCUCAACCUCAUAAAGGCAGUGGAAACUACAUGGCUAGAGUGCGUUCGGGGCAGAGGGAAUUCCUGGUGUAGCGGUGAAAUGCGUAGAGAUCGGCAGGAACACCCAGGGGGAAACCAGUCGACUGGGCAUCUACUGACGCUGAGGUGCGAGAGCGUGGGGAGCGAACCGG